This 6100-nucleotide long non-coding RNA is filed under the name Homo sapiens (human). RNAcentral describes it as "non-protein coding lnc-XPC-8:2". The record is from RNAcentral. Lineage: Eukaryota; Metazoa; Chordata; Mammalia; Primates; Hominidae.
AGACACUCCUAGUUCUUGAGGUGAGGCUGACACACAAGAAAGGAAUGACCACCCAGCACCGGGGACACAUUUCAGGCUGCACGAGAAAGAGGGCCUCCCUCAAGUCCGCACAAGACUCUUGCAUUUCUCAUAACUGGCUGACUCCACCCAGACCUGUGAUUCAUCCAGUUCUGUGGCCCCCACCCAGAGGCAGACUCAGCACCUGAAGACCGUCUUCCAUACUCUUGUGAUUUCAUCCCCAACCAAUCAACAUUCCCCAUUCCUUAGACCCCUCCACACCAAACUAUCCUUGAAAAACCCUAACCUCUGAGCCUUUGGGGAGACUGAUUUGAGUAAUAACUCUGUCUCCCGCAUGACUGAUCUCCUGUCAAUGAAAUGUCUUUACUGCAAUACCAUUAUCUCAGUAAAUGGAUUUUGUCUGUGCAGUGGGCAAGAAGAACCUGUUGGGUGAUUACAGAUUUGUCCAGUGCUGUCCAAGGGAGAGAAUAUAGUCAUGGGUUCUUAGUUUCUCUUUCUGGUUGGGCCAGUAAAUCCCCUUCCUCAUCCCUCUUUUCCGCUUAUCACUAGAGACAGAGGUGAAAAUCCAUGGCUUCAGACUGCUAAAAGCCUAAAACAAAACAAAACAAAACAAAACAGAGCAGCAACAACAGCAAAAACAACAACAAAAUAAGGUGGACUGGACCAGCUUAAGCUCAUAGACCUUAUUUAAGUGGACUCACACUGGAUGCAGGCCUCUGACUCGGGCGCAUUAUGCUCAGCGUGGUGUAUUGUUGUGUGUAUCUGCAGUGUCUUAGUCUGCUUGGGCUGUCAUAACAAACACCACUGGCUGGGGGGCUUAGAUGACAGAAAUUCAUUUUCUCACAGCUCCAGAGGCUGAAGUCCAUGAUCAAGGUGCCAGCCAAUUUGGUUUGAUGAGGGCUCUUUUCUUGACUUGCAGACAGCCACCUUUCUUGCUAUGUCUUCAUGCAGCCUCCUCUCAGUGUGUACAUGGAGUGAGGGAGAGGGGGUGAGGAGAGGGAGGGGGAGGAGAGAGGAGGAGGAGGGUGCUUUCUGGUGUUUCCUCCAUAAGGACACCAAUCCUACUGAAUUAAAGCUUCACUUAACCUUAAUUAUGACCUCAGUUAACCUUAAUUACUUCCUUAGAGGCCUCAUCUCCAAAUAUAGACAUACUGGGGUUAGGGCUUCAGCAUACACAUUCUGGAGGGUCAGAAACAUUCUGUCCAUAACAAGCAAUUUGUUCCCUUCAUGGUUGAGUUGCAGAGUAGUAUUCCAUUACAUGGAUUUGUUGUAUGAAUAUAUCUCAACUGGUUUGUUCACCACCUGUUGAAGGACAUGAAGUUUGUUUCCAGUUUGGGGCUAUUUAUUAUGAAUGAGGAGAACAUUUGUAUAACAGUCUUUGUGUGGAUCUGGAUUAACCAACAAAGGGAAUAACCUGGAGCACACGAAUGAAAACUCCACUGGUGGUGAAGUCUUCAGGAAUGGCUCCAUCCAGAGGCUCCAGACCGCACUCCAUUUCUCUACUAUGCUUUCAGCUAUAUCUUUGUGUAUGCGUGAGGCUGACCUUUCCAUCCCUUCUUACAGCUCAGUGUUUCUCUUUUGCUUACUCAAUCAGCAAACAUUUAUGGAGCCAGCUCCAUGCCAAGCACUGCACUAUGAGUGGGAAACAAUGGGACUGGGAGAUUCUGGAUAAGCACGAGUGUUCUGCCCCAAAGGGUUUUUACUCAAGGGAGUCUUCAUUUUACAACUAUUCCAUUUAUGCCUGAUGCACACCAGGCAUUGGGCCAGACUCUGGGCACAGCAACAAGCAGGACAGACUCGGUCUCUCCCCAGAGGAGCUCAGAGCCUGGCGGGGGCAGAUACCCAUGAAACCAUCACUCAUGUAUUACAUACGUGAGAUUGGGCCUCUUCAUAUGGUAGUGGCGAGGUCUCAGCAUAAGAAGAGAUACCUACUCAAAGUGAGAAGGGAUAGUUAGUUGGCCACAUCGAGUUACAAGGCCAUCCAUAUUGAAGAAAGUGAAGAAAGAGACUCUGCCGCUUGACAGGAAGCAAGGCAAAAGGACAUGGAUAUGGCAGGUUGUGAAAAAUUGGGUCACUUUUGAAAACAAUCAAUUUCACAGGUAUUAUCUCAUUUCCUCAAAAAGACAAAGUCAAAGCUCAGUUUUACAGGUAAAGCAGCUGAGGCACAGAGAAGAAAAGGAGCUUGCUCAAGGAGCUGCUAAUAGAGUUGAGAUUCAAACCCCGGUGUUUAUCACUCUACAGACAACACGUUAUUAACCCCUGUGAGUUACUGCCCACUCCACUCACAGACAAAGACCUAAGGAGGUCAGCAUCCCAGGAGGCCACUGUCUUUGUCAUCAUUGCCAUCAUCAUCACCAUCAUCACAUUUAUUGAAUAUCUGUGAUGUGCAGAUGCUAUCAGUGCUUUACAUGGAUUAAUUCAUUUAUUAUAAUUCACCCAAUGUCCCUAUAAGAUGUACAUUAAUGAUUUUCCCAUGUAACGUGGGUCAGGAUUAGAAAUUUCAUGACGACUUCACUCAUUUUGAUAUUCCCUCUAUAGCACAAUAUCUGGCACAUAGGUCAUACCCUCUUGCCAUAUGUUUGCUGAAUGAAUGAGGGCAGAAGUAGGGGAGUGAACAAGACUCAAGGCAAACAAUCAUUAGCCCAAAGUCACACAAAGCAGGACUAGAUCUCAAGAUCCCCCAUCUCCUUGCCAUGUGGCCCCUGGGCAGCCUUGUUACCUGGAUCUGCUGCUGCUCCACUCCCCCAAGGUGGCUGAAAAUAGAAAACAAGAUUCGGGAUGUGCUGUUCGGUCUUCCAGCAGGUGCCCCCAAACCAAACAUAGUCCCAGAAACGUAAAUCUGAGAAUGUUUUGAAACUACCUAGCACAGUGGAGAGAGCACUGGGCUCAGAGUCUGAAGACCCAUGUGUGCCACCCUUGGUUGAUGUGUGAUCCUGGAUGGGUCACUUGGAGAAGACCAGACUUUCCUCAUCAGAAAUCCAGGGCUUCAGAUUUUACAUCCUGUUUACAUUCCAGGACUGUGCGGGAGAUAAGAGGAGCUCACAGAUGCAAACUCUCCGUGAAGCUUGUACUUGACUCAACUCAUGGACCUCUCCGGGUUUGCUCAGCUCCACUGGUUGCACCCCCACCAACACCCCCAGCCUCACUUACUUGCUCAGGGGAGCACAGGCCCCACACCAGCUCAUCUCCUAAUUGCCACGGGCUCCACCUCCCACGGGGCAACGUCUGCACCUAGGCCUGGCCUCUUACCUUCCGUGGAACCACAGCAACUCUGGUGCCCUGGUCCAACCUGACUGGUCAUGCAGAGGCUCUGGCUUGUCUCACUGUUUCUAGACCCAGAUGAAGCACUCUGCCCUGAGAUGUAGCAUGUGGCUUCCCCAGCAGCUGUCUGAAGGGGCCACAACACUUUCAGGGGAGUUAAGGCCCGUAGGGUCAAUUUGGACCAGUGAAAGACAGAUGAUGGAAAAUCACCAGGAGAUGCCUCUUUCUUCCUCUGCUAGUCUUGGCUCUCUGGAGAUGUUACAUGGCUGAGUGACCUGGUGUGCUUUGCUCUGAAGCUGUGACAUGCUCAAUCAUGCACCACCCUGUGUUUUCUUUCUCUCCUUCCCUGCUUCACUUCCCGUCUUCCCUCAGUCUUCCCCCAGCUCACACCCUGGAAUGACACACAGGUACCUGAGCUUCACUGGAGAAUCUGUGGGUUAGGUAACCUAGUCGAAGAUAAAGAGAAGAAUUUGAGAAAGUUGUCAAUUUGCAACCACUCAAAAAAUCAGAAGAAGACUGUAUCUACUGCUGGCAAGGAUAUGGAGCAACCGGAAUGCUCUCGUACGCUGCUGGUGAGAAUGUAAAAUGGAACAGCCACUUUGGAAAAUGGGCAGUUUCUUAAAACAUUAAACAUACACCUACCAUAUGGCCCAAUCUUUCCACUUCUAGGUAUUUAUCCAAGAGAGAAAAAAAUACAUAUGUCUACACAAAGACUUGUACGAGAAUGUUUAUAGCAGCUUUAUUUAUAAUAGCCUCAAACUGGAAACAACUCAAAUGUCCCCCAACUGGUGAAUAUAUAGACAAAUGGUGGUAUAUUCAUACAAUGGAAUUUUACUCAGCAAUAAAAAUGAAUAAACUCUGGAUACCCACAACAUGCGUGAAUCUCUAAAUAAUUAUGCUAAGUGAAAAAGGCCAAAGAAAGUACUGUUUGAUUCCAUUUACAUAAAAUUCUAGAAGACGCAAACAAAUCUAUAAAAACAGAAAGUAGGCCAAGGAUUGCCUGGGGACGGGGGUGGAGGAGGGGUGGGUUGUAAACAGGAGGGCACGAGGCGACUUUGGGGGCAAUGGAAAUGCUUGCCAUCUUGAUUGUGGUGAUGGUCUCAACGGACCACCUUCAUAAAGAUGUGAAAAGGGGGGAAAAUCACCAGGCCUAUAAGUGAACCCAACCAAAUCUUUAGGGAACGAUCACUCCGAUGCUAUUUAAAGCAUUUCAGUGCACAGAGAAAGAAGGAAAACUUCCAAAUUCCUUUUGUGAAACUAGCAUAAUUCUGAUACAGAAAACCUGGCAAAAGGGGCCCAUUAAUGAGUGUGCCGCUCUGCGCACACCUGUGGAGUUAUUAUUGACUCUGUAAAUCAGCUACACUGCAGUUGACCUACUUUCACAAUUUUUUUCUGUCUUUAGUUUCCAGAAAUUUAAUUGCAUUGUGUGUUCCUGUGGAUCUCUUUGGAUGCAUUCUGUUUGGGGAAAGCAGCAAGCAGGUUUACCAGAUGGGAUCAAGAGGGAAGAGGAAGGAGGCCAGCCUUGGAGGCUGAUCCCAGUGAGAGGGCUUCUCCUAGAGGGGUGCCAGGGCCAGGAGCCUCCAAGACCUGUGCGUGGGCUCACUGAUGCCCCUCUCGCCUCUCUCUGCUUGUCCCUCCCACCCUGACCCACCUGCUGCUCUCCACGCCCAUGGCUCCCACCUUUGUUUGUAUCUCCACUGUCUCUUGCCUUUUCUUUAAAAAUCUGACAGUCUCUGAGCCCCCUCUCCCUGCAAUCCAUCCUCCAUGAUGCCAGAAAUCCAAUUAUGUAACAGAGCUAGGAUCCAGCCACUCCUCUGCUCGCUUCCUGUUAGGGGCUGUGCUGCGUCUCCUUCUCCACCCCAGAAAUUUUUAUGUUGAAGUCCUAAUCCCCAGUAUAUCAGAGCAUGCCCAUAUCUGGAGAUAGGGCCUCUAAAGAGAUAGUCAAGUUAAAAUGAGGCUGUUAAGGUGGACCCUCAUCCAAUCUGACUGGAGGUCUUAUAAAAGGAGGAGAUUGGACACACAGAGACCCCAGGGCUAGGCAUAUUCAGAGGAGAGACUGUGAAGACACAGUGAGAAGGUGACCACCUGCAAGCCGAGGAGAGAGGCCCUGGGAGAACCCAAACUUGCCAACACCUUGAUCUUAGACUUCCGGCCUCCCGAAUUGUUAGAAAAUAAAUGUCUGUUGCUUAAGCCCCCUAGUCUGUGUAUUUUGUCAUGGAAGCUCUAGCAAACUAAUACUGUCCUCAUCUCAGACUCUGCUCUCCUGUGGCCCACAGAACAGGUGCAAACUUAGGACUGCACAGCCCAGCACCGCAGCCUCCUUCCCCGCAAUGCUCUAGCAACGCUGAAAGGGCUGCACCAAGUUGUUCAUGUCUCUGCGUCUCUGCAAUGCCACUCCCUCUGCCUGGGGCAGCCUCCCCUCCUUCUUGUCAACAGGCAGAGGCUCUGCUCUGCAGGUCUGACUUGUACAUCCACCACCUGCACUCAGCAUAGGACCUGGCACUGGGCAGAUGCCCCUGAAGGCUUAGAGGGAGGAAACAGAAAUGUCAGAGGGGCUGCAUUGGUGGACACAGGCAGGCCGGCUUUGUGGUCGUACCACCUGCGACUUACACAGCUUCCAAGUAUCUCUUAUUUAGGUCAAUGUUUUCUUCUUCUUCUUUUUUUUUUUUUCUUGAUGCCCAGUAAAGUUCAACUUUAUUGUAAAUUUUUUGUUUUUUGAGUCGGGGUCUCACUCUGCUGCCCAGGCUGGAGUGCAGUGGUGUAAUCAUAGCUCACUGCAGCCUGAACUCCUGGGCUCAAGUGAUCCUCCUGCCCAAAGUUU